This is a long non-coding RNA of Sapajus apella (tufted capuchin), 3171 nucleotides long. RefSeq lists it as uncharacterized. The transcript has 2 exons. NCBI's taxonomy places the organism in Eukaryota, Metazoa, Chordata, Mammalia, Primates, Cebidae. The record is from RefSeq and is a predicted model, not a curated record.
UGAGAUCAGGCCAUUGCACUCCAGCCUGGGCAACAAGAGCAAAACUCUGUCUUAAAAAAAAAAGUUGGUGGGGAAGGGAGGAAUUACAAGUGAAUUGUCCAGAGUGAUACACACAAAUCAACUGAAAAAAGAGAUACCUUGACUGACAUUAGAUUUGGCCCCAGAAUCUGUAAUUUUAAUCUCCGUGCCUUCCAGAAAUUAUUCAGAUACUUAUUUCUUAACCUACAUUGAGUGCUUUGCAAUGUGCUUUGCAAUGUUUGAGGCACUGUGGUGCGUGCUAGAGAGAAAAGGGUACGCACAAGCAAUGGAUUCUUGCUCUUGUGGCAUUUGCCCUCCAGUAGAGAAGAAAGAUAUAAUCAAUUAAAGUAAAUAAGGUUAAAAUUGCAAGCAUAAUGACUACUCUGAAGGAACAAUACCCAGUACUGUAUGAUAAUAUAAUUAAGUUGGCAAUUUGAGCAUAUUUAGUGAGAGAUCUAACCUACUGGAGGGCUGGGGAGAUUCCUCUGAGUAAGUGGCAUUUGAGAUGAGACCCGAAAGAUGAGUAGAAGGUAAAGGGGUGUGUGUGUGUGUGCGCGCGCGCGCGUGCGGCAAUCCAAGCAGAGGAAAUAGCAUGUGCAAAAACUUCACAGUGGGAAGGUGCGUUGCAUGCUGUAAAAGCUAAAGGCCCAGAAUGUUGGAGCUCAGGGAGACGGGGAGAGGCAUGACUUAGGAUGAAGCUGGAGAGGAAAGACAUGCAAGGACUUGUAGGCCAUGUUGAAGAGUUAGGCUUUUGUCCUAGGAAAGAUGGAGAACCGUAAUGGUUUUAGCAGAGGGGUGACAUGUUCAUGCGUAUUCUUUGAAAUGAUCAGCCUAGUUACUACGUGGGGAAUGAGUUGGAGGGACAAGAGUACGUAACUCUAGGAAGUUCUUACAGUAGUCCAGGAAAAAACAUUUCUGUGGCUUAGAUUAGAGAGAUGGCAGUGAUGAUGGAAUGAAGUGACUGACUCUGAAUAAUAUUUGGGAGGUAAAAUUGAAUGGAUAUGUCAUUGGCUUGCCUUUGAGAGGUGACAGAGAGGAAAGUCAGCAGGAACUCCUAGGUUUCUGGCUGGCUUGUGUAACAGAAUGAGAGAAUGAUGGUUUUAUCCACCAAGACAAACCGUAAGGACAGGAGCAGGGUUGGGGUUAGAGGAGCUUUGCUCACUUAAUCUGUUCAGCACAGCCUAUAUACCCACUUCCUUUGAAGAACUGUUAAUCCAAUCAUCUGGUUUUUGGUUAGAUUUACCUUCAGAAAGCCCUGCUGACCUAGCUGUAGUAUAGUGUGCUUCAGUGUGGUGACGCUGUUGGUACAGGCAGUGGCUCAGUGACCCAGGCUUGUACAAUGAGAUUCCUUUUCAUGAAUGUUUAAGGUUGGAAGUGAAAAUGAAGGAGACUUACCUUAAGAGUCUUGGAGCAGCAAGGAUGGGAGGUUGGAGCUGCUUUCUGAUCAUGUUUCUUACCUAUGGAGAAAAGUAGUUUGCCGUAGGAGAGAAAAUAGACAGAGGUAAGCAGAAAUUGGAGAGAGAAAGAGAGUGAGAGAGAGAGAAAAAAAAAUUGACUUUCUUUUGUUAUUUAAAUCCUAAAUCUAGGCAUGCUCAACACUAACCCUAUCCAAGAAAUUCCUAGUUACAUAAGCCAAUAUAUUUCCUUUUAAAUUUGAACCCAAUUUGAGGUGAGUUUCUGAUACUUUCUUCUGAGCUUCAGUUAGUCAGGUAAGAUAACUAGCUUCCAAAAAUGUUGAGUUUCAGGUGGUUUUCAGGCAUCCAUGUAUAAAUAUCAAAUAGACAGUAGGAAGGAUGUAUCUCAGCUCAGAGGACAGGGAUAGGAGAUAUAAAUUUUGGAAUUACCUGCAUAAGGGCAAUAAUUGAAGCCAUUGUCCAUGGUGAUUUUACAUAGGGAGCAAGUAUAUGGUGGUAAGAGAAGAGACUUUAGAACUAGACUUCGAAAUUGGAGAAUAUAUAAAGAUGAGCUUGUAAAGGAAGCAAAGACAUAAGUAGACAAUAACAAAGAAGAUUCAGUUUUAUGGAUCUAGGGGUUUUAAAAAGGAGAGAGUGAUCAACCAUGCUGGAUGUCACUAAAAGAUCUCCCGCACUGAUGUCUGAAAAGUGUCCUCCUGGUUUAGAUGUAGCUGGAGAAAGAGUCGACUUUUUAGAGAUGUGUCUUAGCAACCUGAGAGCUAGGAGAUGCCAAGUGUAAUAUUAAAGAUUUAUCUAAGGGUUCAGAAAGAUAGAAAUGGGUCAGCAUUUAGUUUUAGUUCUCAGGAACUUCCUGGGGCAAAGGGAGGGAAACGAAUUGCUUGUUUAACAAAUAUUUAAGGCAUUCAUUCUUUACCAGGUGUCGUACGAGAUGCCAGGGAGAUGGUAACUAGCAAGGCACUUUUAUCCUUGUGAAACUUGGUCUAAAUAAGAAGGACAAACAAGUGACAAUCACAAUUUAGGUUAAUAAAUGCAGAGUGUGUCAAUUUGAAUACUUUUGGCUGUAACCAAGCGGAGACUUAAUGAACAGUGACUUAGAACACUUAGAUUUCACUUAGCAAGAAAUGCAGGUAGAUGGUGCUGGGGUAGAUUCAGCAGUUUAUCAGUAUGGGAAGGGAAGGCUGUUUUUAUACUUGCAUUGGCCACUGUUACCUUUUGGAUUUUGAACUAUAGUUUGUGGUAGCAUGAACUCUAGAUGGUAGCUGCAGCCCUGGGCAUUAUAUCCUAGCAUGAGAGUAUCUGAAGAAAGAGGAGAGGAAAAGUAGCAAAGAUUUUUUCUUCAGGCAGGUCUUAACCUUUUAUGGGGCAGAGUAUUCCUUCAAGAAGACCAUACAUAGUCUAUUUGCUGUACAUCCUUCUUCCCACCACUGAAUCACAUUCAUUUAUUGUAUUAUCCAUUUAUUUUUUAAAAAUCUGCUCACCAGACACUGUUGUGUAUAUGGAGUAUACACCAGUGAAUAAAACAAACAUCCUUCUUAAAUAAGUCCAUGUAGGAAAAUUCUCAUUGUAGCGUCUGGCCCAUAGUAAAGGUUCUUUCUAUGAGUGUUCUACACUAUUUCAUGGAACUUAUAUUCUAUUGGAAAAGACAGAUAGUAAACAGGUAAACAGGUAAGUGUAUAAUAUGUCAGGUGAUGAUAAAUGAAAUGCAGAAAAAUAAAGCAGAGGAGAGAAAAUAAUGAGG